CAGUCGCCGCGGUAAAACGAAGGGUGCAAGCGUUAAUCGGAAUUACUGGGCGUAAAGCGUGCGUAGGCGGUGAGUUAAGUCUGCUGUGAAAUCCCCGGGCUCAACCUGGGAAUGGCAGUGGAUACUGGCUCGCUAGAGUGUGUCAGAGGAUGGUGGAAUUCCCGGUGUAGCGGUGAAAUGCGUAGAGAUCGGGAGGAACAUCAGUGGCGAAGGCGGCCAUCUGGGACAACACUGACGCUGAGGCACGAAAGCGUGGGGAGCAAACAGGAUUAGAGACCCGUGUAGUCCCUGUCUCUUAUAC
Molecule: ribosomal RNA, 301 nt
Filed under: uncultured bacterium
Lineage: Bacteria
Description: partial 16S ribosomal RNA
Rfam family: Bacterial small subunit ribosomal RNA
Source: RNAcentral